CUGUGUGCCUCAAUGACAUGGUUUGUCCAAUUUGUAUAUUAACUGAAGUAUAACCGUUGUCAUUUGUAGAAUAAAUUACUCCGUAAUAUCGUUUUAUGUUCAAUGUGAUAUCUCAGGUCGGUGUAUAUUAGUUUAUUAAUGUUUCAUUCACACAGGUAACUUAUCAUUGGAAGCAACUGAGCUGUGAUUAACGCUAUUUUCUAAUACCAUUUAUUUUGGCUUAAAGACGGAUUGUGACUAAAUAUCCCUGUGUUGUAAGCCUCUAAUUGUUCGCCUUUGUAAUGUGAUAGAAUGAUGAUGGAGAGUGUAGUGUCUAUAAAAGUUUGUAGAGAAAAAUAAAAGAGUAUUCUUUGUGGCAGAGAACGUGGGCUGUAUUUUCUGUAACAUACCUACCUUCAUAUUAAGCUCUCUAUUAUAGAUGUAUAUAUAUAUAUAUAUACACACACACACAUCUACAUUAGCUAGAGAACUUAUUAUAUAUUUACAAAUAGAAAUAUAUACAUUUGCAUAGAUAGAU
Molecule: non-coding RNA, 517 nt
Organism: Pelobates cultripes (western spadefoot toad)
Lineage: Eukaryota; Metazoa; Chordata; Amphibia; Anura; Pelobatidae
Source: the annotation of a GenBank genome assembly